AUACUUACCUGCCUGGGUAGACCCCAUAAUUAAGAAGGUGAUUUUCUUAGAAUGAAGCUUAUCCAUUACCCUACAUAUGUGCUGAACCUGUGAUUUCCACCAGUGAUGGCAACUUAACUGCAUAAUUUGUGGUAGUAAAGUGCCAUAAUCAUGCUCUCCUCUU
Cricetulus griseus (Chinese hamster) is the source of this 163-nucleotide small nuclear RNA. Its record names the gene U1. It matches the Rfam family "U1 spliceosomal RNA". Rfam says of the family: U1 is a small nuclear RNA (snRNA) component of the spliceosome (involved in pre-mRNA splicing). Its 5' end forms complementary base pairs with the 5' splice junction, thus defining the 5' donor site of an intron. The record is from Ensembl. NCBI's taxonomy places the organism in Eukaryota, Metazoa, Chordata, Mammalia, Rodentia, Cricetidae.